This is a long non-coding RNA of Dicentrarchus labrax (European seabass), 583 nucleotides long. RefSeq lists it as uncharacterized. The record is from RefSeq and is a predicted model, not a curated record. The transcript is spliced from 9 exons. NCBI's taxonomy places the organism in Eukaryota, Metazoa, Chordata, Actinopteri, Moronidae.
GUAACGCAUCCUAUAAAUUGCUUUGCAGCAGGAGACGAGUUCCUUUUAGCUCGGUAGUCUGUCGUGUUGGGAGGCUGACGGAGAGAACACGGACAGAACACGGACAUUGGAAUGACCUUGUUGCUGAAAGUGAUGGGGAGACAGUCUCCUACAGUUUGUGCUUCCCCCUCUGGGACAUGAGGUGCUGGAGAAGACCUUAGGCCAGCUGGGUCUGCUCACUGUCCUGGCUUUCAGCACUGAUGAAACCACAUAAUGGUUCUCCUGCAUGGACAUACAGCCUCGGUGGCGCAGGCUUCAGCAGAGAUCAACAACAGAAGGGUCCCAGUGACAGCAGGAACAUGAGACACUAAUGAACAGUGGGUUCUCCUGCAUGGACAUACAGCCUCGGUGGCGCAGGCUUCAGCAGAGAUCAACAACAGAAGAAUGGUGACCCCAUCCCAGAGAUGCAAACUGAGGCGUUCAGCAGCCUGUCACUACCCAUGAGUGAGCAGCUGAGAGCGCGCUGUCUGUGCUGGGAUCUGUUCUAAAUGCAGCUGUAUCUUCUACAAUGUACUCAAUAAAUAAAAACUCCAUAACUACACAA